This 736-nucleotide long non-coding RNA is filed under the name Marmota monax (woodchuck). Lineage: Eukaryota; Metazoa; Chordata; Mammalia; Rodentia; Sciuridae. The record is from RNAcentral.
GUCAAUGAAUAUCAUGAAGAUGAUAGAAAUCAAUAAUCUCUCACCAGGAGGUGUCAGAGCUGAGAAGUUGUCUUCAUAAUAAGGCCUAAAAGGCCAGAGAGGACAAAGCUAAAUUUGGGAAUGUAAAUCUUUAACCAGGUCAGAAUUAUCAAGAAUGUUAAGCUACUUAAUGCCAUCUGAUUUUUGUAAAAUAUCUUUUUAUUGGAAUGAUCUGUGUUUUAAUUUUAAGUGUAUUUCUUAGGUAUUCAAGAUCAAGCUGUUUAAAGUGACCUUGUUUUUACCUAUCAUUAAGAGUCAGCUGAGUUGUCUUGGGGUGUCUGUUGGGUAACUAAUGAGCAGCUGUUUAGCUCUGCUAAUGCCAUCCACCUAGAUAAGUCAAGGUCUCACUGACCAUGUGGCUUCCGUUGGAAAUACCAAAAAUAUUUCUCUUUUCCAAUGACUCUCCUUUUUCACAGUAUGUAUCCUGAUUGGAUUUCUUUUUUUAAGGUCCACCGGCAGACAGCAGGGAAACCAUCCUGAAGCUUGACCCAGAUUUGCAAAGCUCUUAGAGAAGUUCCCUUGUUCCCUGGGUUCAAGCUGACUCAGAGGGCAAGAGCUAAAUAUUGGGUUUCUUGCCCCCAACCCCACCUUUUUAACCUUAAUCUUUAAGCCUUGAUCUUAAAUAUCCAGCAAUCCCAUCUUAAAUUAAGAGUACUGGGCUUUAACUUUAAUAUUUAUAACUUUACAGUCAUCUUUA